GACGAACGCUGGCGGCGUGCUUAACACAUGCAAGUCGAACGGAAAGGCCCUGCUUUUGUGGGGUGCUCGAGUGGCGAACGGGUGAGUAACACGUGAGUAACCUGCCCUUGACUUUGGGAUAACUUCAGGAAACUGGGGCUAAUACCGGAUAGGAGCUCCUGCUGCAUGGUGGGGGUUGGAAAGUUUCGGCGGUUGGGGAUGGACUCGCGGCUUAUCAGCUUGUUGGUGGGGUAGUGACUUACCAAGGCUUUGACGGGUAACCGGCCUGAGAGGGUGACCGGCCACAUUGGGACUGAGAUACGGCCCAGACUCCUACGGGAGGCAGCAGUGGGGAAUAUUGCACAAUGGGCGGAAGCCUGAUGCAGCAACGCCGCGUGCGGGAUGACGGCCUUCGGGUUGUAACCCGCUUUCGCCUGUGACGAAGCGUGAGUGACGGUAAUGGGUAAAGAAGCACCGGCUAACUACGUG
Molecule: ribosomal RNA, 468 nt
Filed under: uncultured bacterium
Lineage: Bacteria
Description: partial 16S ribosomal RNA
Rfam family: Bacterial small subunit ribosomal RNA
Source: RNAcentral